GACGAACGCUGGCGGCGUGCCUAAUACAUGCAAGUCGAACGGAAAGGCCCUGCGCUUGCGGGGCGCUCGAGUGGCGAACGGGUGAGUAACACGCGUGUAACCCGUCCCUGACAUUGGGAUAACAUCAGGAAACUGGGGCUCAUAUCCGAUAGGAGCUCCUGCUGCAUGGUGGGGGUUGGAAAGAUUCGGCGGUUGGGGAUGGACUCGCAGGUUACCCGCUUGAUGGUGGGGUAGUGGCUUACCAAGCGUAUGACGGAUAGGCGGCAUGGGAGGGUGGCCGGCGACAUUGGGACUGAGAGACGCCGCAGACUCCUACGGGAGGCAGCGGUGGGAAGUAUGACGGAGUAACGGGGAGCCAGUGACGACGGCCCCGGGUGCGGAAUACCGUGUUUCGAGUGAUGAACCGAUUUGUCCGGAGACGUGCAGUGAUUGACGGUAAUUAAUAAGAAAGCACCGGCUAACUACGUG
RNAcentral lists this ribosomal RNA (468 nucleotides) under uncultured bacterium. RNAcentral describes it as "partial 16S ribosomal RNA". It matches the Rfam family "Bacterial small subunit ribosomal RNA", at positions 28 to 507 of the family's 1533-position model. The record is from RNAcentral.